GGUCCGGUAGCUCAAUUGGAUAGAGCGUCUGACUACGGAUCAGAAGGUUGGGGGUUCGACUCCUCCCCGGAUCA
Molecule: transfer RNA, 74 nt
Filed under: Flavobacteriaceae bacterium
Lineage: Bacteria; Pseudomonadati; Bacteroidota; Flavobacteriia; Flavobacteriales; Flavobacteriaceae
Also listed under: 1 other name
Description: tRNA-Arg
Rfam family: tRNA
About the family: Transfer RNA (tRNA) molecules are approximately 80 nucleotides in length.
Source: RNAcentral